GCCCUAGUAGCUCAGUCGGUAGAGUGUUAGGCUUUUAACCUAAUUGUCCAGGCUUCGAGUGCCUGCUCGGGCG
This is a non-coding RNA of Dermacentor andersoni, 73 nucleotides long. NCBI's taxonomy places the organism in Eukaryota, Metazoa, Arthropoda, Arachnida, Ixodida, Ixodidae. The record is from the annotation of a RefSeq genome assembly.